RNAcentral lists this long non-coding RNA (1097 nucleotides) under Rhinolophus ferrumequinum (greater horseshoe bat). RNAcentral's name for it is "lncRNA (ENSRFEG00010011142.1)". Lineage: Eukaryota; Metazoa; Chordata; Mammalia; Chiroptera; Rhinolophidae. The record is from RNAcentral.
GGGUGCCUCGGGCCCGGGUGCCGAGCAUGAGCCGCCGCGGGCCGCGCGCUGCUCGGGGCCGGACUGCGGCGCGAGGGCUGCGCGGGAGCUACGCUGGCCCGGACCCAGGCGGACCAAGCUUCCAGUGCCUCCAACCCGGACACCUCGUCCAGCACCUGGGCUAUUUCAUGAAGUGCAUUUUCCGUGUUGAGACUCAAGGCCGUGAGGAACAUCCAGCCCACGCGGCCGGCUGUAGCCUUCGCCUCCUCCGCCAACUGCUCAGCUAAAACCUGCAGGGCCCUCGCCACGCUGGUCGAGAGCCAUCCAUGUCCUCCCACCCCAACUUGGGGGUCCAACUCCUGAGAACAGUGGCCACCGGGCACCACAUACUGUGUGGGGGCCACCUGUCCUCCUGCCCAGAGUCAGAUGCCAUUCCUACCUGGCCGGAAUCUUGCUCGCCGCGCCAGGCGUCUGAGUGGAUGGAGGCCUCCAUGUAAGAUGUCCGCAACCCUCGGAGCCCACAGCAGCAGCCUACCAAAAAGCUGGUGAUGCCUGCUAUGGCCAACAGGGUGGCGUGCCAUCCAGAGGCUCGAGAGGACCACCAGUUCAACGAGGGGUCACAUCUCUCCCAGGCAGACUGCACGCCCUGUCUCUGGCGCUGCUCCUCAUGGGCUUCCCGAGACUGAGUUUUCACACGCACAAACUGCUCUUCCAUCCCUCAGAGAGCUUUGGCCUGCACCAUACCCUGCUCGCUGAGCCAUUUGUCAUGCAAGGCUGACUGCGGGGUCUCUGCUCCCGCUCCCCACAUAAGAACACAGGACAUGGUGAGGUCAAAAAGGAACACCCGCGGAGCCAAUAGAUAGAGGAGUCAUACCACUACUGUCUCACUGGAGGCUGGAUCCACACGACCUGCAACCUGCUGUCCGCUUCUCUGCCUGCCAACCAACCAACUCACCAAUCAGUGCAGCCAGGGCAGUUAUAUCAGUGGCUAAUUGGCUAACUGGUAACAGCUGACGGCCAACUUAGCGACAGCUGACGGCCAUCUACUACUCAAGUCAGCACCUUUCCACGUGAGUCCAAGAGCCUGGAAACUGCUCUCUGGGCCUCUGUUCCCACAU